RNAcentral lists this ribosomal RNA (433 nucleotides) under uncultured bacterium. RNAcentral's name for it is "partial 16S ribosomal RNA". It matches the Rfam family "Bacterial small subunit ribosomal RNA", at positions 29 to 507 of the family's 1533-position model. The record is from RNAcentral.
AACGAACGCUGGCGGCAUGCCUAACACAUGCAAGUCGAACGAGACCUUCGGGUCUAGUGGCGCACGGGUGCGUAACGCGUGGGAACCUGCCCUUAGGUUCGGAAUAACUCCCCGAAAGGGGUGCUAAUACCGGAUAAUGUCUUCGGACCAAAGAUUUAUCGCCUUUGGAUGGUCCCGCGUUGGAUUAGCUAGUUGGUAGGGUAAAAGCCUACCAAGGCGACGAUCCAUAGCUGGUCUGAGAGGAUGAUCAGCCACACUGGGACUGAGACACGGCCCAGACUCCUACGGGAGGCAGCAGUGGGGAAUAUUGGACAAUGGGCGAAAGCCUGAUCCAGCAAUGCCGCGUGAGUGAUGAAGGCCUUAGGGUUGUAAAGCUCUUUUACCCGGGAUGAUAAUGACAGUACCGGGAGAAUAAGCGCCGGCUAACUCCGUG